Long non-coding RNA from Hibiscus syriacus, 126 nucleotides. RefSeq lists it as uncharacterized. The transcript has 3 exons. NCBI's taxonomy places the organism in Eukaryota, Viridiplantae, Streptophyta, Magnoliopsida, Malvales, Malvaceae. The record is from RefSeq and is a predicted model, not a curated record.
AUGAGAUUUGUUUAAUGUGAAAGAAACUAGGACCGAAUAUACAGACCUGAAAGGCCAGAGGCUGUUUUCAUGGCCUUUUGUCUGCAUUUGUUGUCGUGCAAAUCCAAUUUCAGCACAACUUUCUGU